This 427-nucleotide ribosomal RNA is filed under the name uncultured bacterium. RNAcentral describes it as "partial 16S ribosomal RNA". It matches the Rfam family "Bacterial small subunit ribosomal RNA", at positions 355 to 774 of the family's 1533-position model. The record is from RNAcentral.
UGGCGAAUAUUGCACAAUGGGCGCAAGCCUGAUGCAGCCAUGCCGCGUGUAUGAAGAAGGCCUUCGGGUUGUAAAGUACUUUCAGCGAGGAGGAAGGCGGUAAGGUUAAUAACCUUAUCGAUUGACGUUACUCGCAGAAGAAGCACCGGCUAACUCCGUGCCAGCAGCCGCGGUAAUACGGAGGGUGCAAGCGUUAAUCGGAAUUACUGGGCGUAAAGCGCACGCAGGCGGUCUGUCAAGUCGGAUGUGAAAUCCCCGGGCUCAACCUGGGAACUGCAUUCGAAACUGGCAGGCUAGAGUCUUGUAGAGGGGGGUAGAAUUCCAGGUGUAGCGGUGAAAUGCGUAGAGAUCUGGAGGAAUACCGGUGGCGAAGGCGGCCCCCUGGACAAAGACUGACGCUCAGGUGCGAAAGCGUGGGGAGCAAACA